GUAGGGAAUCUUCCACAAUGGGCGAAAGCCUGAUGGAGCAACGCCGCGUGAGCGAAGAAGGUCUUCGGAUCGUAAAGCUCUGUUGUAAGGGAAGAACAAGUGCAGUAGUAACUGGCUGCACCUUGACGGUACCUUACUAGAAAGCCACGGCUAACUACGUGCCAGCAGCCGCGGUAAUACGUAGGUGGCAAGCGUUGUCCGGAAUUAUUGGGCGUAAAGCGCGCGCAGGCGGUCUCUUAAGUCUGAUGUGAAAGCCCCCGGCUUAACCGGGGAGGGUCAUUGGAAACUGGGAGACUUGAGUGCAGGAGAGGGAAGCGGAAUUCCAUGUGUAGCGGUGAAAUGCGUAGAGAUAUGGAGGAACACCAGUGGCGAAGGCGGCUUCCUGGCCUGUAACUGACGCUGAGGCGCGAAAGCGUGGGGAGCAAACAGGAUUAGAUACCCGAGUAGUCC
RNAcentral lists this ribosomal RNA (450 nucleotides) under uncultured bacterium. Its description in RNAcentral is "bacterial SSU rRNA". It matches the Rfam family "Bacterial small subunit ribosomal RNA", at positions 354 to 796 of the family's 1533-position model. The record is from RNAcentral.